AGUUGGUAUUUUGAGGUAAGCAUAAGUAGGUUGAAGAAGAAAUAUGAGCAGCCAGAUUGUGAUAGUUAUGAGUUGGGAUAAGCUUGGUGCUACCUCUUUGUUUUCUUUGUUUCUUUGUAGAAAAAGAGUAUUGGAUAUUUUUUGAAUAAUGUGAAGUGAAAUUUUGGAAUGAAAAAAAAGAUUUAAUGUUGUAAAUAAAAUAUGGAAUUUAUUGUGGAUGAAUACAAUGGAGAAUUAUAAGUGAAUAAUUGGAAGUAUUGGUGAAGAAUGGAUAUGAUUGGGAGAAUUAUAAUAUUGAGGUUUGAGAAGGAGUCUUUGGAGUUUGGAUUUGUUUAAAAAAGUAUAGAAAGAAUGACAAUUAAAUGUAGAGGAUUCCAGUGAUUGGAUUAUGGAGUGAUUGUAUGCUGUCUUUUAAGAUAAUAUAGUUUUAUAUAUCAUUGUCAUAAAUUAAGAGAAGAGAAGAGACAUUGAAUAUGAAGAUGGAAUUAUCGAUUGUAAUAUUUCGUAGAAUGUGGAGGACAAUGUAGCAUUCUUGGGUGUUCUUAGUUGAUUAAGAGAUAGUUAAUUGUAUGACUCUAACGUGUAAACGCAUGCGGAUAAGUCUUCCUUGUGUUCAAAUCUCCCUAUACGGAAUUAUUCUGAUUAGAUUAGUUUGAAGUAAAUAAAACGACAAUUAUAAUAUUCAAUGUCACCAUAACAGCUGACCUUGAAUUAGAUAAUGACUAUCAAUAUACUACCAAAGAAUAGUUUAAUACUUACUUUGAUAUCAAUAAAACAAGAUUGGCCUAUCUCAAGAGUCUAAGAUCCUUCUAAUCCACA
RNAcentral lists this long non-coding RNA (819 nucleotides) under Physcomitrium patens. RNAcentral's name for it is "long non-coding RNA (PPAT_LNC002501)". The record is from RNAcentral. Lineage: Eukaryota; Viridiplantae; Streptophyta; Bryopsida; Funariales; Funariaceae.